This 66-nucleotide transfer RNA is filed under the name bovine gut metagenome. It matches the Rfam family "tRNA". From Rfam's summary of the family: Transfer RNA (tRNA) molecules are approximately 80 nucleotides in length. The record is from RNAcentral.
UGGUGUGGCUCAAUGGUAGAGCAGCUGACUUGUAAUCAGCAGGUUGAUGGUUCGAUUCCGUUCACC